GAUGAACGCUGGCGGCGUGCCUAAUACAUGCAAGUCGAGCGAACGGACGAGAAGCUUGCUUCUCUGAUGUUAGCGGCGGACGGGUGAGUAACACGUGGAUAACCUACCUAUAAGACUGGGAUAACUUCGGGAAACCGGAGCUAAUACCGGAUAAUAUUUUGAACCGCAUGGUUCAAAAGUGAAAGACGGUCUUGCUGUCACUUAUAGAUGGAUCCGCGCUGCAUUAGCUAGUUGGUAAGGUAACGGCUUACCAAGGCAACGAUGCAUAGCCGACCUGAGAGGGUGAUCGGCCACACUGGAACGGAGACACGGUCCAGACUCCUACGGGAGGCAGCAGUAGGGAAUCUUCCGCAAUGGGCGAAAGCAUGACGGAGCAACGCCGCGUGAGUGAUGAAGGUCUUCGGAUCGUAAAACUCUGUUAUGAGGGAAGAACAUAUGUGUAAGUAACUGUGCACAGCUUGACGGUACCUAAUCAGAAAGCCACGGCUAACUACGUG
This 497-nucleotide ribosomal RNA is filed under the name uncultured bacterium. Its description in RNAcentral is "partial 16S ribosomal RNA". It matches the Rfam family "Bacterial small subunit ribosomal RNA", at positions 28 to 507 of the family's 1533-position model. The record is from RNAcentral.